CAGCUGUGUGGUUUUCUGCAGAGUCCACUCUGUGGUCUGCAGACUCUGAGGUUGGAGGACUGCAGGUUGUCAGAGAUCAGCUGUUCUUCUCUGGCUUCAGCUCUGAAGUCCAACCCCUCCCACCUGAAGGAGCUAGACCUGGGUUGGAACUGGCUGCGGUCUCCAGAUGUGCAGCAGCUGGUUGCUCUCCAGGAGAGUCCAGACUGCAGCCUGCAGACUCUGAGGUGGAGCUGAGAGCAGAGAGGAGGCUGUGAGUCCUGAAGAUCUACUGAGAGCAGAGCUU
This is a long non-coding RNA of Salarias fasciatus (jewelled blenny), 283 nucleotides long. RefSeq lists it as uncharacterized. NCBI's taxonomy places the organism in Eukaryota, Metazoa, Chordata, Actinopteri, Blenniiformes, Blenniidae. The record is from RefSeq and is a predicted model, not a curated record. The transcript has 3 exons.